Molecule: non-coding RNA, 314 nt
Organism: Notechis scutatus (mainland tiger snake)
Lineage: Eukaryota; Metazoa; Chordata; Lepidosauria; Squamata; Elapidae
Source: RefSeq, a predicted model, not a curated record
UCUGUGUCUCCUCCGGAGAGCAUCCAAGAUGAAGAACGGAGCGAAGACAGCGGGGUGAAGGCCAAGCUGCAGGACAAGGAGGAGGAGGAAAGCGACGGAGAGAAGAGCGAUUGCAACCUGAUUGUGGACGAGGAACGUGGGAGUGUUUGCAUUCUCCCUACCUCCGUAGAAAACGCGGUUGAGUAUUUGCAGCUGGAUUUUCCUUCCUUUGUGCCAAUUGGUGCCCCCCACAAAUACCCACUGUGGGCAGCUUCUGGAAAAUGCCUGGCUUGGGAUCAAAGCCGCAUGCAUCUCACCUAAACCCAAAGACGGAC